RNAcentral lists this small RNA (136 nucleotides) under Streptomyces clavuligerus. Lineage: Bacteria; Bacillati; Actinomycetota; Actinomycetes; Kitasatosporales; Streptomycetaceae. The record is from RNAcentral.
ACUACUGCACAGCAGGGCGGCGGGACCCAGGAAGCCGGUGUGACUCCGGCACGGUCCCGCCACUGUGACCCGGGCCCCGGCCCGGCAGUCAGGAACUGACCCGCCGCCCUUCUCCCAUCACAGGGGACGUGGAAAU